This is a small nucleolar RNA of Suncus etruscus (white-toothed pygmy shrew), 105 nucleotides long. RefSeq annotates it as small nucleolar RNA U13. The record is from RefSeq and is a predicted model, not a curated record. The transcript has a single exon. Lineage: Eukaryota; Metazoa; Chordata; Mammalia; Eulipotyphla; Soricidae.
AUCCUUUUUCGGUUCAUAAGUAUGAUGAUUGGGUAUUCACACAUACAUGUUGAUCUGUACCUCCUUUAAACCUUGUUACCAUGUCAGCACAUUACCCUUCUGACA